Molecule: ribosomal RNA, 658 nt
Filed under: Cystobasidium benthicum
Lineage: Eukaryota; Fungi; Basidiomycota; Cystobasidiomycetes; Cystobasidiales; Cystobasidiaceae
Description: LSU rRNA
Rfam family: Eukaryotic large subunit ribosomal RNA
Source: RNAcentral
CUUUAGACCUCAAAUCAGUCAGGACUACCCGCUGAACUUAAGCAUAUCAAUAAGCGGAGGAAAAGAAACUAACAAGGAUUCCCCUAGUAACGGCGAGUGAAGUGGGAAAAGCUCAACUUUGAAAUCUGGCACUUUCAGUGUCCGAAUUGUAGUCUCAAGAAGUGUUUUCUGUGCUAGUCCGUGUAUGAGUCUGUUGGAACACAGCGUCAUAGAGGGUGACAACCCCGUUCAUGACACGGAUCCUAGUGCUUUGUGAUACACUCUCGAAGAGUCGAGUUGUUUGGGAAUGCAGCUCAAAUUGGGUGGUAAAUUCCAUCUAAAGCUAAAUAUUGGCGAGAGACCGAUAGCAAACAAGUACCGUGAGGGAAAGAUGAAAAGCACUUUGGAAAGAGAGUUAACAGUACGUGAAAUUGUUGAAAGGGAAACGAUUGAAGUCAGACGUGCGUGAUGCGGUUCAGCUCUGGUUCGCCAGAGUGUACUCCGUAUCUUUGCAGGCCAACAUCGGUUUUGUUAGUCGGAUAAAGGUUUGAGAAAUGUGGCACCUUCGGGUGUGUUAUAGUCUCAGACUGAAUACGAUUGAUGGGACCGAGGAACGCAGCGCGCCGCAAGGCAAAGGUUCCGACCUUUUCGCGCUUAGGAUGUUGGUGAAAUGGCUUUA